RNAcentral lists this ribosomal RNA (455 nucleotides) under uncultured bacterium. RNAcentral describes it as "bacterial SSU rRNA". It matches the Rfam family "Bacterial small subunit ribosomal RNA", at positions 340 to 786 of the family's 1533-position model. The record is from RNAcentral.
UACGGAAGGCAGCAGUGGGGAAUAUUGCACAAUGGGCGAAAGCCUGAUGCAGCUAUGCCGCGUGUAUGAAGAAGGCCUUAGGGUUGUAAAGUACUUUCAUCGGGGAGGAAAAACAAAACUAAUAAUUUUAUUUCUUGACGUUACCCGAAAAAGAAGCACCGGCUAACUCCGUGCCAGCAGCCGCGGUAAUACGGAGGGUGCUAGCGUUAAUCAGAAUUACUGGGCGUAAAGAGCACGUAGGUGGUUUUUUUAAAGUCAGAUGUGAAAUCCCUGGGCUUAACCUAGGAACUGCAUUUUGAAACUGAAAUACUAGAGUAUCGUAGAGGGAGGUAGAAUUCUAGGUGUAGCGGUGAAAUGCGUAGAUAUCUGGAGGAAUACCUGUGGCGAAAGCGGCCUCCUAAACGAAUACUGACACUGAGGUGCGAAAGCGUGGGGAGCAAACAGGGAUUAGUACC